UUAGAGGAAGUAAAAGUCGUAACAAGGUUUCCGUAGGUGAACCUGCGGAAGGAUCAUUAUUGAAAUAGCAUGACGAGUUGUCGCUGGCCUUUUUGACCGUGCACGCUCUGUCGUUCUUCAUUUCUCCAUCUAUUUGUGCACCUCUUGCGUAGACCUUUUCUGAGGGCUUCCUCGGGUCGUUAGGACUGCUUUGCAAAAAUUGAAUUUGUGGGCUUUCCUUGUCGCUACCACACAUACACCAGUGUAAUCGUUUAGAAGGAAAUGGAAUUUGAUGCAUAAUACAACUUUCAGCAACGGAUCUCUUGGCUCUCGCAUCGAUGAAGAACGCAGCGAAAUGCGAUAAGUAAUGUGAAUUGCAGAAUUCAGUGAAUCAUCGAAUCUUUGAACGCAUCUUGCGCUCCUUGGUUAAUCCAAGGAGCAUGCCUGUUUGAGUGUCAUUAAUGUCUCAACCACACCGUGAGGUGUGGCUUGGAUUUGGGGGUUACAGGCCUAGUCUGCUCCCCUGAAAUGCAUGAGUGGUAACGACCUCUCCAUUAAGAUGUGAUACAUAUCUGCAUCUGGUCGAGGGUUCUGCCGCUAUAUAAGAGUUGGAUUUGAUAAACUUGACCUCAAAUCAGGUAGGACCACCCGCUGAACUUAAGCAUAUCAAUAAGCGGAGGAAAAGAAACUAACCAGGAUUCCCUUAGUAACUGCGAGUGAAGUGGGAAGAGCUCAAAUUUGUAAUCUGGCGGCCUUUGGACGUCCGAGUUGUAAUCUAAAGAAGUGCUACCUGUGCUGGACCGUG
This 784-nucleotide ribosomal RNA is filed under the name Inosperma maculatum. Its description in RNAcentral is "eukaryotic LSU rRNA". The stretch from base 283 to 437 matches the Rfam family "5.8S ribosomal RNA". Lineage: Eukaryota; Fungi; Basidiomycota; Agaricomycetes; Agaricales; Inocybaceae. The record is from RNAcentral.